AACGAACGCUGGCGGCAGGCCUAACACAUGCAAGUCGAACGGAUGUAGCAAUACAUUAGUGGCGCACGGGUGCGUAACACGUGGGAACAUACCCUUGAGUAAGGAAUAAUGUCUGGAAACGGACACUAAUACCUUAUAAUGACUUCGGUCCAAAGAUUUAUCGCUCAAGGAUUGGCCCGCGUCUGAUUAGGUAGUUGGUGAGGUAACGGCUCACCAAGCCUACGAUCAGUAGCUGGUCUGAGAGGAUGAUCAGCCACACUGGAACUGAGACACGGUCCAGACUCCUACGGGAGGCAGCAGUGAGGAAUAUUGCGCAAUGGGGGAAACCCUGACGCAGCCAUGCCGCGUGAGUGAAGAAGGCCUUCGGGUUGUAAAGCUCUUUCAGUCGUGAAGAUAAUGACGGUAGCGACAGAAGAAGCCCCGGCUAAAUUCGUGCCAGCAGCCGCCGUAA
RNAcentral lists this ribosomal RNA (451 nucleotides) under uncultured bacterium. RNAcentral describes it as "partial 16S ribosomal RNA". It matches the Rfam family "Bacterial small subunit ribosomal RNA", at positions 29 to 523 of the family's 1533-position model. The record is from RNAcentral.